GUAGACCACUAUGGCUAAAAUGAACUGAUCGCGUACGAGAUUCGUUAACAACUGCGGCAGUUGUGUUAGUAUGAAAACACACGGCAUAUAAACGCAUACGAAAUAUUCGCGUGACGAAGGGUUGGCGAAUUGGGAACAACAGAACAUUCGGUUCUCUCGUUAGUAAACAAUUACUAAGUAACCCUGAGAUCUUGAUUCCAGAAGAGAGCGCUUGACUUUUUUGUAUAAAUGAUGAUAAACAAAUUUACACUGCUCAGACGUUUAUAUAUGUACAUAUUUUAAUAACUGUAAACAUUUCGCCUAAAACAAAAUAAAUUAAUACAUGAAGAUGUAUGUGAUGAAGCUUC
Bactrocera neohumeralis is the source of this 347-nucleotide long non-coding RNA. RefSeq lists it as uncharacterized. The record is from RefSeq and is a predicted model, not a curated record. The transcript has 2 exons. NCBI's taxonomy places the organism in Eukaryota, Metazoa, Arthropoda, Insecta, Diptera, Tephritidae.